RNAcentral lists this ribosomal RNA (906 nucleotides) under uncultured archaeon. Its description in RNAcentral is "bacterial SSU rRNA". It matches the Rfam family "Archaeal small subunit ribosomal RNA", at positions 11 to 922 of the family's 1478-position model. The record is from RNAcentral.
UUCCUGCCGGACCUGACUGCUAUCGGAUUGAUACUAAGCCAUGCGAGUCAUUGUAGCAAUACAAGGCAGACGGCUCAGUAACGCGUAGUCAACCUACCCUAUGGACGGGGAUAACUUCGGGAAACUGAGAAUAAUACCAGAUAGAACAUUAUUCCUGGAAUGGUUAAUGUUUCAAAUAAUUUAUUGCCGUAGGAUGGGACUGCGGCCUAUCAGUUUGUUGGUGAGGUAAUGGCCCACCAAGACUAUUACAGGUACGGGCUCUGAGAGGAGUAGCCCGGAGAUGGGUACUGAGACACGGACCCAGGCCCUAUGGGGCGCAGCAGGCGAGAAAACUUUGCAAUGUGCGAAAGCACGACAAGGUUAAUCCGAGUGGUUUCUGCUAAAGGAACCUUUUGUCAGUCCUAGAAACACUGUUGAAUAAGGGGUGGGCAAGUUCUGGUGUCAGCCGCCGCGGUAAAACCAGCACCUCAAGUGGUCAGGAUGAUUAUUGGGCCUAAAGCAUCCGUAGCCUGCUUUGUCAGUUUUCGGUUAAAUCCAUACGCUUAACGUAUGGGCUGCCGGAAAUACUGCAAAGCUAGGGAGUGGGAGAGGUAGACGGUACUCGGUAGGAAGGGGUAAAAUCCUUUGAUCUAUUGAUGACCACCUGUGGCGAAGGCGGUCUACCAGAACACGUCCGACGGUGAGGGAUGAAAGCUGGGGGAGCAAACCGGAUUAGAUACCCGGGUAGUCCCAGCUGUAAACUAUGCAAACUCGGUGAUGCAUUGGCUUGAUGCCAAUGCAGUGCCGCACGGAAAGCCGUUAAGUUUGCCGCCUGGGAAGUACGUACGCAAGUAUGAAACUUAAAGGAAUUGGCGGGGGAGCACCACAAGGGGUGAAGCCUGCGGUUCAAUUGGAGUCAACGCCGGG